RNAcentral lists this signal recognition particle RNA (97 nucleotides) under Desulfobulbaceae bacterium. Its description in RNAcentral is "signal recognition particle sRNA small type". It matches the Rfam family "Bacterial small signal recognition particle RNA". From Rfam's summary of the family: The signal recognition particle (SRP) is a universally conserved ribonucleoprotein involved in the co-translational targeting of proteins to membranes. Archaeal SRP consists of a 7S RNA and homologues of the eukaryotic SRP19 and SRP54 proteins. The record is from RNAcentral. Lineage: Bacteria; Pseudomonadati; Thermodesulfobacteriota; Desulfobulbia; Desulfobulbales; Desulfobulbaceae.
AGCCGGGUCCUGCGCAGCAAAGAGCCGCAAACCCCGCCAGGUCCGGGAGGAAGCAACGGUAGCGAUCUCUUUGUGUGCCGCGGGGCGCCCGGCUAUC